GCGGCCACGACAGGGCGGGGCCGGGGGCGGAGCUGGCACCCUAGUCCGGCACCGCCCCCGCGGCCCAAGCACCGCCUCCAACCCGCCCUCCCACUUCCUGCCCCGGGGCUGCCAGCGAAAGUUGAGGAGGGCGGGGCUGUAGCUCUGGCUCUGGGCGGGCGACUUUCCCUUAGGUGCACGUGGACCCAGGCCGGCUGUCUCUCCUGCAGAGUGUGAAGCCACUGCACCUCGGUGGAGACUAGAAGGUGACACCUGUAACGCGGGGCACUCUUGCAUGGCCCUCUGCAAAGACAAGACAGACCCGGGCAUGCCUAUCCGGCUGGGCUACACAUUCAUGCCCCUAUGGCUCCAUCAAUCUGGUUCGUGGGCUCAGGUCUUUCAGAGUUCCCUUCCAGUCCUCUGUCCUUGCCAAGAUCCGCAGGACACCCCGCCCCCCGAAGAGGGAGAGAGAGAAAAAUCCUUCACCUAGGGUCACAGGCAAGCCCGUAGAUUCCCUGGUGAGAGGGGCUGGAGAGAUCGACAGUGUAAUGUCCUGAGCACCUUGUGACAGUGGAAGGGACUUCAAAAGCAUAGAUAGCUGAUUUUGCAAUUGAAAUUACUUUGCUCUGGACUCAUCUAUCAGGAGCCGUGGGUUCUUGGUAAAGGGAACCCCACAAAGCCAAGCCUUCUCUGAGACGGGUGUCAUGGAAGGCAGCUGGGAUAAAGGGGAGUGACCAGUCCACAAGAGCCUCCUGACUCGAUCUUUUGUGGGCUAGGCAUCAUUGUGUCAGCCCCUGCGUCUCCCUCAGUUACCCGGCCCAGGGCAGGAGGACAAACCCCCCCAUCUUGAUGCACACACAAAGCCUGUCACCUGCAACCAGGGAAGGCCUUCCUAGAAUAGCGUCUGCAGGAUGUCAGUUUACCCCUUCCCCACCUAAGGAGGAAGCAUGAAACCUAAUCCUAGAGGUCAAGAGAGGAGACAGAUGAAGCCAGGCUGAACAACAGGUAAGCCUGCAACUCCUGCCGAGGUACUACUUCACCUCUGAAUAGUCUCAGCCAAAGCCCAGGCCACAGGCAGACAGACCUAAGAGUCAUUCAAUACCCUACACCACAGGGGAAAAAAAGAAGAAAGAAAGAAAGAAAGAAAGAAAGAAAGAAAGAAAGAAAGAAAGAAAGAAAGAAAGAAAGGCAUUGCAAAGCUGAAAACAGAGCACCCUGCUAAUCCCGCUCCACUCAUACCUGGGUGUCUGCAUCCAGGGAGCUCUUUUACGAAAAAGAGGCCUCUGCACUCCAUGCCCUCAACCUUCCAGCCUCAUUAGGAAGCUAACCAUGACCAGACUAGGUCUGGGACAUAGACUAAUCUGACAUCAGUCAGGCGUUCAUCUGCUGCCCCCUGGUGGUCUUGAGGGCAGUGGCAGCUGACAUCCCAGAUGCCCCAGGAGAGGGAACUGUAGUACAGAUCGGAGUUAGCCUGUCUUCCAAAUCAGAAGAUCUAGGCCUCUUAGCACCGGUGGCCCUGCACCAAUCGUGUCUGUCUCUCUGGUACCCACCUCCUUAUCUGAAUAGUGAGGACAUUCAGUUGUCCUAUAUACGUGGUGGGGACCUUGGGAAACUGCAGAGAAAUAAUAGGGAUGAAUGAAGAAAAAAACUGAGUGGAAAGUAUUCCAGAUGUCUGCUGUGUGUGCGUAGGUCGGAUUGCAUGGGCUCAAGCAAACAAGCAGAGUACUGAUAAAUGGGAUACUUUCACUUCAACAUUCUUCCCCACCCAUUCUCUCAGCCCCAGCACUGAUCGCCAGGACUGCCCUCUGAACAUGUCCAGGAAGCAAGAGUACCUCCCUACUUUGGAGAUGAGCUCCACUGAAAGCCACUUAUGCUGAAUACCAGUGAUCAGCUCUGAGCUGGUCCACUACAGCAGCAUCCCUGAUGGACUCCAGUGUUAAUUCUCGCAUGUCUGAUCUGCCAGCAAGUCCGAGAACCCCAUUCGCAUUCUGAGCACUCCUAGCUCCACCAUCGCCAAGGUUCCUCAGCAGCCUGCUUCUACCUCAGCCUUCAGUCUGCUCUUCACAGCCAGCAAAGACCUAGCCGAACCUAGAUGCAACCCUGUCGCUCUCCCACCCCCAAAGCAAGCCGUUUGUGGAACUCAGCUCCUAGCAGGUAACUUAGGCCUGGGGUUCUUUGAAAGAACACUGUUUGGCAUGCAUGAGGCUCCAGGCUCCAUUUCUAGCCCUUAAAGCAGCAGUUCUCUACCUGUGGGUCAUGAUCUCUUGGGUAGUCAAAAGACCCUUUCGCAAGAGUCUCCUAAGACCAUCAGAGAAUACAGAUAUUUACAUUGCUGUUCAUAACAGCAAAAUUACAGUUAUGAAGUAGCAACAAAAGUAAUGUUAUGGUUGGGGGUCACCACAACCCAAGGAACUGUAUUAAAGGAUGGCAGCAUUAGAAAGGUUGAGAACCACUGCCUUAAAGGAAAUGAAAAAAUAAAGAAUGACAGAAUCUCCCCAAGCAAACCUCCUUUGGCACAGCUUCCUUCCCUGGCUGCAUAUUCUAUGCCCCUCCUCUAUGCCCUUCCAUCAAAGAGGGACAUGACCAAGGUCUGGCUAGUAGAGAAGGGAUUUGAACCAGGAUCUCAACAUGGAGUCAGUUUUCUCUAGUGCUCCCAGCAUAGCUGUUUGCGUUUACUCUAGGCUGACCUUCAACACAAGAGAAGUCAUGGAACUCAGUCUGUCUCUGCCCUCCCAGGAUUCUGCAGUGGGUGCCCCUCAUACGCUCAGACACUGCUCACUGGGUAGUCCAGGGUCAGUGUUUGACUAGAACUCAAGUGCCUCUAAGCACACAUUGCUUUGCAUGACACCUGCCUCAGUGGAAGGAAGCUUCUACAGACACUGGAACAUCCAAGGAACUGGACCUCCACAGCCAGUCCAGCCAUAGUUCUCAGCCCAUGCUUCCCCAACAAAGACUCAGACACACUGCCCGGUCUCCAUACCUUUCAUCAAAAAGACCACCACCGACAGGCUCUUCCCUACCACCAAGUUUCCCAUCCAAAGGAAUACCACCAUUGGCCUCCCUUUUUUCUACCACCUGACCUUCCAUUGGCUUCCCUCCAGCUCUGGACCCUCUUUUUACAUCUCUUUCCUGCUCCUUUCUUUGGGGGGGGUUUCGAGACAGGGUUUCUCUGUGGCUUUGGAGGCUGUCCUGGAACUCACUCUGUAGACCAGGCUGGCCUCGAACUCACAGAGAUCCACCUGCCUCUGCCUCCCAAGUGCUGGGAUUAAAGGCGUGCGCCACCAACGCCUGGCCCUCUUUCCUGCUCCUUGAACUCAGCCACCCAGCCCUCUGUCCAGUACACUUUAAUCUACUUAGCCCUUCAUUCCUCCGCCCAGCCCUCCCAUGAUCCUCUGCCCAUUUCCUUUCUUUUCUUUUUUAUUCUUCAAGACAGGGUUUCUCUGUGUAGCUUUGUAGACCAGACUGGCCUCGAACUCACAUAGAUCUACCUGCCUCUGCCUCCCGAGUGCUGGAAUUAGAGGCAUGCACCACCAUGGCCCAGCUACUGCCCAUUACUCUUACAUGGAUCAAGCCAGCCUCCCACUGUCCAUCAUUAUCUGCCCCACUCCUAUCAACCCGCCUAUACCUGCAUCUACCCACCCACCACACCCAUAUCCCUCCAAUAGACAAUACUAAUUCAGUGCUGGCUUUCUAACUCAGUGCUGGCUUUGUUCCCGGAGAAGGGGAAGUGGAUGUUUUGACCGGGUGAGGGGUUUAUUCUCACAUCCAACCCACAUGAACACACAUUUUUGCGAAUUCCGUUUGGAGCUCCAUCAGGCAAAUUCAGCUGUCACAAUUUCCCAGGAAAUUAUAGGUGUAGGAAAAGACCAUCUGGCCAGCCAUGGAGAUGGAGCACGCCUUGCUGGAUGGUGGGUGUGGGCCUUCCGCAUAUUUCCUUUGAAAAGGCAAAAUGUAGACUAUUACUGAUAGUUGCUUCAAUUUCAAAAUGAAGCCAAAUGCCACAGUCUAGGGAUUGACCCCUACACUGAGGUCUCUGAAAUCUUGCUGUUGACACAGCCACAGCUUGGACACCAGCCAGUGACUAUGCAAAACAUAAAGACGGCUCCCCGGGCCUGUCUUGAAGCUGUAGUUGCAGGCGGAGUUUAAGUAGCUCCUGGAAAGACCCUGUGUUUCAGGGCAGGUGAGCAUAGUCUUAAGAGAGUACAGAGUCCAGACACAGGUCAGCUGUCCAUAAGAGACUGAGAGGCAGCACUGGGGGAGGGGACGCUGCUUUCCACAGGGGCCCUCACCACAGAGCCGCAAGCCACCUGGAUGCUAAAUAGAUGGAGAGGGUCCAGUCAGAGAAAGCCAAGCUUCAUUUGGCUGCAUGUGAAUAAUGGACGUGGCCUGGCGGGUGUUGGGGGGUGAUGCCAGAGUCCCCACAGGACGAAGCAUGUUCUGGGUCUCAGUUGACCACACACUGACUUCUAGAAGUGCUGGGUCUUAGUAGAACAAGUUGGUACCCACAGUGUGAGUCACACAGACAGGGAAAACCUGACUGUGCUUCCCCCCGACCCUCACCAGAGCCAGAAACUCUCCUUCAACUCCAGAGGAGGUAUCCCUCUCCGGGGUCCUUCCGACUGUCCUCCAGACAUACCACCUUGAAGUCAGUAUAGCCGAGGGAAUGUGCAGACCACACCUGCUCCAACACCUCCCUGAUAGGACACAACACAAAUGUCCCAACCCUGAAGCAUUUGUCACCCAACUGUAACCCCCAGCAGCUCUGGCAACCCACCCUCAGCUCCGGCAACCACUUUUUAAUCUGCUUUGAGUGUAUCUACCAAGGACGCUUUGUGUCAUUGGAAUCGCACUGAUCAUGACCUUUCAAGCCUGGCUUUUCCUCCUUGACUAUGCCUGAGGUUCCCUCGUGUUCUUUGCUUAGCGAGGUCUGUAUCCCUUUCUAUGGUCGACCAGUAAGUAAUUCAUUGUGAGCAGAAUCAGUCUUAAUGAGACACUGUUUAAUGCGACAUGUCUGAGGCAUUGUCAUUUUGAUACCUGAUCAACAUUAAAACUUACUAACGA
Long non-coding RNA from Mesocricetus auratus (golden hamster), 5040 nucleotides. RefSeq lists it as uncharacterized. The record is from RefSeq and is a predicted model, not a curated record. The transcript has 2 exons. NCBI's taxonomy places the organism in Eukaryota, Metazoa, Chordata, Mammalia, Rodentia, Cricetidae.